RNAcentral lists this long non-coding RNA (714 nucleotides) under Homo sapiens (human). RNAcentral's name for it is "ARNT2 divergent transcript, transcript variant 2 (ARNT2-DT)". Lineage: Eukaryota; Metazoa; Chordata; Mammalia; Primates; Hominidae. The record is from RNAcentral.
AAGUUGGGCGCCGGCGACUGGCGGGGGCAGAGGGCCGGGCGCUCCCUCGGGCUCGCGCAGGUGCUCGGGCCUGGCCGGGCUGGGACCGCAGGCGCCUCUCCCGCGCUCGCCUAGCCCGGGCUGCCCCCGCACGCCCACGCCCCAGGUGUCCGGGCGCGCUUUACCCAGGGGCGCCGUGCCCAGGCCAGGAGGCCAGGGCGGAGCGGGUUUAUCUGCGUAUCCUGGCGAAGUUUGGAUGCAGAGAACUUGGAGCUGUUGUUUUCUACCAGACACUAGGAUCCCUGAGAGAGGUGUCAUUCUUUCGCGCUGCACACACCUUCCUCCACGUGGUGAAGAUACAUCGCUCCUGACAGCCUCAUGCCUGACUGGACACUGAAAAAGAGGUGAAGAGAUGAGGCGAUAGAACAAAAGAACAGAAAGAUAAUGAAGCUGAGACUAACAUAAUUAUGUAUGCAGCCACAAAUGGAGCACAAAGCAAUUACUGCUUGUGGGAAUUUGAGAGAUGCUCUUUGAAGAGGUGUGAGGGAAUCAGUAAUACUUGCAGUGACUUUUAAGGAGGUGGAGUGUGCUGAUGAAGAUGCCACAAAGAACUGAUGGGAAGUUAUUCCUCUCCCCAACUGCUAUUGUAUCCUUCCUGUAGUGCUGUCUCUGCUUUUUGCAUCUUGCCCAGUAUAUUAUGACACAAAUAAAAAUUCUCUUUUCAUCAUCUUGCAA